UGUAAGACCCGUAAUUUCACAGUUUAUUUUGUGUAAGGAAAAUAAAUAUUGGAUAAAAGUUUUAGGGUUUUUGUUUAAGUCGUUUUGUACGUAUCGUUGUAAUAACGACAUUUUUGCUGAGUUUAAGUCUGUUUUGUGCUCGUGCGCUGAAAAGGCACAGACUUUUGGGCUGUAAUCCUCUUUUAUGUAUGAGAAGGUUUAUGCAAAUUCAGAAUGACGAGUUUUGAACUAUUCUCGCUUUUGGAAAAACGAGUAGAAAUUUUACCCGCUGACGUAAAAUUUUACGGUUUCUGAAUUCAGUAAAAUUUUGGGUGGAAGUUUUAUAUAUCUGCGCGAG
Molecule: long non-coding RNA, 337 nt
Filed under: Trifolium pratense (red clover)
Lineage: Eukaryota; Viridiplantae; Streptophyta; Magnoliopsida; Fabales; Fabaceae
Description: long non-coding RNA (TPRA_LNC008178)
Source: RNAcentral